RNAcentral lists this ribosomal RNA (282 nucleotides) under Chloropicon mariensis. RNAcentral describes it as "partial Eukaryotic large subunit ribosomal RNA". It matches the Rfam family "Eukaryotic large subunit ribosomal RNA", at positions 348 to 690 of the family's 3401-position model. Lineage: Eukaryota; Viridiplantae; Chlorophyta; Chloropicophyceae; Chloropicales; Chloropicaceae. The record is from RNAcentral.
GUACUGUGAAGGAAAGAUGAAAAGCACUUUGAAAAGAGAGUUAAAAGGGCUUGAAAUUGUUGAGGGGGAAGGAAAUGGUUGUCGGUGUGCACUUUGGUUUUAUGUUUAGUUAACGCUAAGCCUAUCAACGCAUUGUGCUGGUCAGCGUGGGUUGGACGGGCGGUAUAACCUUGUACUGCCGCCUGUCCGACCGAGGUCGGAGGUAACGCUCGAGACGCUGGCGGAAGAUAACCAUUUCACCCGUCUUGUAACACGGACCAAGAAGUCUAACAUGUGUGCGAG